Molecule: long non-coding RNA, 483 nt
Filed under: Chinchilla lanigera (long-tailed chinchilla)
Lineage: Eukaryota; Metazoa; Chordata; Mammalia; Rodentia; Chinchillidae
Description: lncRNA (ENSCLAG00000028954.1)
Source: RNAcentral
CCUUAUUUUUGCAGUUUCUAAAGGGAGUGCCAGGCUUUUGAAUGCCUUCUCUGUGACAUGCUGCCAAACCAGAGAGUAGAUGGAAUAAUUGUAGACUUAGCCUUUACCCCAGAUCACAGAAAUGUCAAUGAAACAUGGUGAAACAACAGCAGUCUGGUUAAAAGUGAGCUUUGGAAAGAGACAUUAGGCUUUAAUUUCCCCUCUGGAAAUGUUGCUAAUGAUGGAGCUGUUUCCCUAGGGUAUUUUCCAAGAAAUUCACAUGUAAAUCCAGGCAGUGAAGCGGGGCUUCUUUCAGUAAGAUCUGAAAUGUCAAAACAGGUAAAAUGUUCAGAAGGUGAAACAUUCUCAAAGUUGAGAGCCACAUCAGUCUCUCUGCUUCAGUUUGGGGGACACAAGUUGAUCAUCAUGAUGAGGAAGAAUGUUGGGGAGGUUUAGAGUGUGGAGCUUGGAGCCAGGGUAUUUAGGUGCAAAUCCUGAUUAUGC